AUACGUAGGGGGCGAGCGUUGUCCGGAAUGAUUGGGCGUAAAGGGCGCGUAGGCGGCCCGGUAAGUCUGGAGUGAAAGUCCUGCUUUUAAGGUGGGAAUUGCUUUGGAUACUGUCGGGCUUGAGUGCAGGAGAGGUAAGUGGAAUUCCCAGUGUAGCGGUGAAAUGCGUAGAGAUUGGGAGGAACACCAGUGGCGAAGGCGACUUACUGGACUGUAACUGACGCUGAGGCGCGAAAGUGUGGGGAGCAAACAGGAUUAGAUACCCUGGUAGUCCACACUGUAAACGAUGAAUGCUAGGUGUAGGGGGUAUCGACCCCUUCUGUGCCGCAGUAAACACAAUAAGCAUUCCGCCUGGGGAGUACGGCCGCAAGGUUGAAACUCAAAUGAAUUGGCGGGG
RNAcentral lists this ribosomal RNA (397 nucleotides) under uncultured bacterium. RNAcentral describes it as "partial 16S ribosomal RNA". It matches the Rfam family "Bacterial small subunit ribosomal RNA", at positions 523 to 918 of the family's 1533-position model. The record is from RNAcentral.